RNAcentral lists this long non-coding RNA (1792 nucleotides) under Canis lupus familiaris (dog). RNAcentral's name for it is "lncRNA (ENSCAFG00845006024.1)". Lineage: Eukaryota; Metazoa; Chordata; Mammalia; Carnivora; Canidae. The record is from RNAcentral.
ACGUCUGGGUGAUGGUCUCGGCCCUUGCCCUCCGCCCCUCCCGCCUCUGCCGCUGUCAGAUCCUCUUCUCUUCUCCACAACUGGGAGCUCCAGGGAGCAGAUUGUUUUGGCUGGAAUUAGCCGGGCGCAGAUGGGGCUGACGCGCUGCCUGUGAGCAGCCCCGGGGCAGGUGGCCCUGCGGGCGUCGGGGAAGCGGGGCUCCUCCGCUCCAGAGCCGGGGGGAGGAGACAGAGCCUGCGGGGGGAGGACAGGACAGGCCCCUCAGGGUGGAGCUGACCGCGCCCCUGUCCUCGCAGGGCUCAGGAAAGUGCGGGGGCGCAGCAUCACUCCGCGGCUGGGCAGCCACCGAGGGACACGUUCUUCUGUGCUCAGGGAGAGGAUGCGCCCGGGGUUGGGGAGGGCAGGCCCGGGCUGGCGCAGCCGACAUCCCCCGCGGGGCCUGGGACCCUGCCUCCCCCCAACCCACCCUUCGGAGGUGAGCCUGCAGCGCCCAGCAGGCGCCCUCGCUCGCCAGGCACGCAGACAGGGGCCUGCAACCCGGUGGCUGCUCCGCAGGGUUAGGGUCAUCCUUAGGAUCGCUGAACAUUACAGGACAGAAGAAUCGAGGAAGGGUUAGAAGCACCGGUAGAGGCAAUAAGGCAUCUAUGGAGACCCGGCUUCGGGACUCCGCUCUGCUAGGAACGACUUGGGCUUUUAUUCCUUCUGAGCCCCAGAACUUUAAAAGCCAAGGCCUCAGAUGAGACAAGAUCUCUGCCCCCGGGUGUUCUCGCCUUGGCCCUCGAUCUCAGAGUAGUCCCACUGCAGGUGCAGGACGCUCCUGCCGCCCCUGGUACCCCGGGCCUUGCUGCUUCCUCUGACCACCUCGGAUGCUUCAGAAUCCAGCAGGUCUCCGUCUCUCCGUUGGAGGAGAUGCUAGUCCCGGAGCCUGAAGGACCCUCAGAUGAUGAUGUGAUCGGAGUAAUACCGCCUUUCCAAGGUCGAUUAUUUCCAUUCCAUCCGUGCAUGAAGAAUUCUGGUGGACCAGGACAGACUGCUGGCGGGAAGCGGGGAAACUAGCUGGUUUCUUUCGAUGCUUCCAUAGGCGUUUGAAGGAGGGUUCCACCGUGACAUGUUGAAGAGAGCACUGUCAGGAGGCUGGGGUUGCGACAGUCUAUGCUCAAGGGCUUUCUAGACCAUUCAGGAAUAGAAACAAACCAAUAACCAGUGUGGUCUCAAGGAUAGGUAGGCUUCAGCUUCCUUAUCUACAAGAUGUGGCUGGUGCAUUAACUGCUUUUAUUUUUCCAAGUGUGACACACAUAAAGAUUCUCUUCCUUACCCAAGUCAUAGGAGAGUUUUAUUAAAGAACAAGAACAAGAUUUUGGACACUUCUAAUGCAGACACCAAACGUGUUACAAUGUGGUCGGGCCAUAGAGGAGUUUAUAGCAUGUUCAUAGAGCGAUCUGUAGGUUAAAGCAUGUGACUCAAGGGAUCAGGACAAUUCCUGGAAAACUAUUUGUACGAAUCCUUAUUUUAAUUUCCAUCUUCAAAACCAAGGUAGUACAUAAUAAGCAGCCCUUGUGGUUAGGACUCUUCUUGUUCAAUAAGAGUUUUUUCUUUAAUGUUCCAUCACCACUUAUUCUAAAUCGACUGAAAUGUUCCUUUGCAUGGAAUUGUCUUUAGUCACAGAAACCCACUUUAUGUUACGGAAAAAGAAAAAAAAAAGUGUUUACUCGGAUGUUAGGCUGAUUAUUCUAAGACCUACUUUCUCCAGAAAUGGCAUUUUAAGUGUUAAAAAAAAAAAAAAAAAAAAAAG